AGAUCAUUUUGAGGACAGUUUCUAAGCAAUCCCUUGUAAUGCUCCCAUGCCUCAUAUAAAGAUUCUCCCGCUUGUUGCUCGAAAUUUGCAGUAGCCUUCUUCAACUU
Small nucleolar RNA from Lactuca sativa (garden lettuce), 107 nucleotides. Lineage: Eukaryota; Viridiplantae; Streptophyta; Magnoliopsida; Asterales; Asteraceae. The record is from RefSeq and is a predicted model, not a curated record.